AAACUUGUUUUUUUGUCUAAAUCUUUGUCCACAAUGAUCACAAGAUAAAAGCUUCUGUCCUGUAUGGAUUCCCAUGUGUGCUUUUAAAUUAGAGUUUUGGU
This is a long non-coding RNA of Fundulus heteroclitus (mummichog), 101 nucleotides long. RefSeq lists it as uncharacterized. Lineage: Eukaryota; Metazoa; Chordata; Actinopteri; Cyprinodontiformes; Fundulidae. The record is from RefSeq and is a predicted model, not a curated record. The transcript is spliced from 3 exons.